GUGGACGAAUUGGUAAGUCGCAUUGCUCUGAACGAUGAGGUUGCAGGUUCAAUUCCUGUUACCA
This 64-nucleotide transfer RNA is filed under the name Nostoc sp. NZL. RNAcentral describes it as "tRNA-Gln". It matches the Rfam family "tRNA", at positions 8 to 63 of the family's 71-position model. Rfam says of the family: Transfer RNA (tRNA) molecules are approximately 80 nucleotides in length. Their secondary structure includes four short double-helical elements and three loops (D, anti-codon, and T loops). The record is from RNAcentral. Lineage: Bacteria; Bacillati; Cyanobacteriota; Cyanophyceae; Nostocales; Nostocaceae. RNAcentral also lists the same sequence under 2 other names.